UAGUAGGCAGCCUGGAGA
RNAcentral lists this unclassified non-coding RNA (18 nucleotides) under Mus musculus (house mouse). RNAcentral describes it as "oocyte_clustered_small_RNA1820". Lineage: Eukaryota; Metazoa; Chordata; Mammalia; Rodentia; Muridae. The record is from RNAcentral.